RNAcentral lists this ribosomal RNA (467 nucleotides) under uncultured bacterium. RNAcentral's name for it is "partial 16S ribosomal RNA". It matches the Rfam family "Bacterial small subunit ribosomal RNA", at positions 28 to 507 of the family's 1533-position model. The record is from RNAcentral.
GACGAACGCUGGCGGCGUGCUUAACACAUGCAAGUCGAACGGAAAGGCCCUGCUUUUGUGGGGUGCUCGAGUGGCGAACGGGUGAGUAACACGUGAGUAACCUGCCCUUGACUUUGGGAUAACUUCAGGAAACUGGGCUAAUACCGGAUAGGAGCCUCCUCUUCCUGGGUGGGGUUGGAAAGUUUCGGCGGUUGGGGAUGGACUCGCGGCUUAUCAGCUUGUUGGUGGGGUAGUGGCUUACCAAGGCUUUGACGGGUAGCCGGCCUGAGAGGGUGACCGGCCACAUUGGGACUGAGAUACGGCCCAGACUCCUACGGGAGGCAGCAGUGGGGAAUAUUGCACAAUGGGCGGAAGCCUGAUGCAGCAACGCCGCGUGCGGGAUGACGGCCUUCGGGUUGUAAACCGCUUUCGCCUGUGACGAAGCGUGAGUGACGGUAAUGGGUAAAGAAGCACCGGCUAACUACGUG